Molecule: long non-coding RNA, 420 nt
Organism: Cottoperca gobio
Lineage: Eukaryota; Metazoa; Chordata; Actinopteri; Perciformes; Bovichtidae
Exons: 9
Source: RefSeq, a predicted model, not a curated record
UCGGACCUGUCUGAUUCCGUCAAUGACGAUGAUUCCAACCACGAGGCGGCGGCUAACCGACUGAAGCGCUGGAGUCCUAGAUUCAACCUGUUUGAUCAUCUUUCUGGCAAAGGAGCUUCGGCAAAUCCCAAACCUGCGGCUGCUAAACCCACUCCCGGAGGAGGAGGGUUCAAUCUGGCAGAUGGUCUUCUCCCAGAGCCCAAACCUUCCAAGCCUUCUGGAGGAAAUGAUUUUGGAUUCAACCUGGACGAUGCUCUCCGUCCAGCUGUUAAACCCAGCGGUGGCGAUUACCAGGAAAACCUGGUCCAAACACUGAGCAAGGUCAUCGAGAAUCAGAACCAGGAGCUCCGCCUCCUGCAGCAGCUCAUGUCUCGCUCUUCCCGCUUCUGUGGAAAACGUUAAAUGUGGAGAUGCAGGAAG